UGCAGUCGAGCGGACAGAAGGGAGCUUGCUCCCGGAUGUUAGCGGCGGACGGGUGAGUAACACGUGGGUAACCUGCCUGUAAGACUGGGAUAACUCCGGGAAACCGGAGCUAAUACCGGAUAGUUCCUUGAACCGCAUGGUUCAAGGAUGAAAGACGGUUUCGGCUGUCACUUACAGAUGGACCCGCGGCGCAUUAGCUAGUUGGUGGGGUAAUGGCUCACCAAGGCGACGAUGCGUAGCCGACCUGAGAGGGUGAUCGGCCACACUGGGACUGAGACACGGCCCAGACUCCUACGGGAGGCAGCAGUAGGGAAUCUUCCGCAAUGGACGAAAGUCUGACGGAGCAACGCCGCGUGAGUGAUGAAGGUUUUCGGAUCGUAAAGCUCUGUUGUUAGGGAAGAACAAGUGCGAGAGUAACUGCUCGCACCUUGACGGUACCUAACCAGAAAGCCACGGCUAACUACGUGCCAGCAGCCGCGGUAAUACGUAGGUGGCAAGCGUUGUCCGGAAUUAUUGGGCGUAAAGGGCUCGCAGGCGGUUUCUUAAGUCUGAUGUGAAAGCCCCCGGCUCAACCGGGGAGGGUCAUUGGAAACUGGGAAACUUGAGUGCAGAAGAGGAGAGUGGAAUUCCACGUGUAGCGUUGAAAUGCGUAGAGAUGUGGAGGAACACCAGUGGCGAAGGCGACUCUCUGGUCUGUAACUGACGCUGAGGAGCGAAAGCGUGGGGAGCGAACAGGAUUAGAUACCCUGGUAGUCCACGCCGUAAACGAUGAGUGCUAAGUGUUAGGGGGUUUCCGCCCCUUAGUGCUGCAGCUAACGCAUUAAGCACUCCGCCUGGGGAGUACGGUCGCAAGACUGAAACUCAAAGGAAUUGACGGGGGCCCGCACAAGCGGUGGAGCAUGUGGUUUAAUUCGAAGCAACGCGAAGAACCUUACCAGGUCUUGACAUCCUCUGACAACCCUAGAGAUAGGGCUUUCCCUUCGGGGACAGAGUGACAGGUGGUGCAUGGUUGUCGUCAGCUCGUGUCGUGAGAUGUUGGGUUAAGUCCCGCAACGAGCGCAACCCUUGAUCUUAGUUGCCAGCAUUCAGUUGGGCACUCUAAGGUGACUGCCGGUGACAAACCGGAGGAAGGUGGGGAUGACGUCAAAUCAUCAUGCCCCUUAUGACCUGGGCUACACACGUGCUACAAUGGACAGAACAAAGGGCUGCAAGACCGCAAGGUUUAGCCAAUCCCAUAAAUCUGUUCUCAGUUCGGAUCGCAGUCUGCAACUCGACUGCGUGAAGCUGGAAUCGCUAGUAAUCGCGGAUCAGCAUGCCGCGGUGAAUACGUUCCCGGGCCUUGUACACACCGCCCGUCACACCACGAGAGUUUGCAACACCCGAAGUCGGUGAGGUAACCUUUAUGGAGCCAGCCGCCGA
Molecule: ribosomal RNA, 1419 nt
Filed under: Bacillus sp. 3RMW17
Lineage: Bacteria; Bacillati; Bacillota; Bacilli; Caryophanales; Bacillaceae
Description: bacterial SSU rRNA
Rfam family: Bacterial small subunit ribosomal RNA
Source: RNAcentral